GGGGAUUUAGCUCAGUGGUAGAGUGCUUGCCUAGCAAGCAUAAGGCUCUGGGUUCAGUCCUCA
This 63-nucleotide transfer RNA is filed under the name Cricetulus griseus (Chinese hamster). It matches the Rfam family "tRNA", at positions 1 to 62 of the family's 71-position model. From Rfam's summary of the family: Transfer RNA (tRNA) molecules are approximately 80 nucleotides in length. Their secondary structure includes four short double-helical elements and three loops (D, anti-codon, and T loops). The record is from Rfam by way of RNAcentral. Lineage: Eukaryota; Metazoa; Chordata; Mammalia; Rodentia; Cricetidae.